This 247-nucleotide ribosomal RNA is filed under the name uncultured bacterium. Its description in RNAcentral is "partial 16S ribosomal RNA". It matches the Rfam family "Bacterial small subunit ribosomal RNA", at positions 526 to 772 of the family's 1533-position model. The record is from RNAcentral.
CGGAAGGUCCGGGCGUUAUCCGGAUUUAUUGGGUUUAAAGGGAGCGUAGGCCGGCUUUUAAGUCAGCUGUGAAAGUCCGCGGCUCAACCGUGGAAUUGCAGUUGAAACUGGAGGCCUUGAGUGCACACAGGGAUGCCGGAAUUCAUGGUGUAGCGGUGAAAUGCUUAGAUAUCAUGAAGAACUCCGAUCGCGAAGGCAAGUGUCCGGGGUGCAACUGACGCUGAGGCUCGAAAGUGCGGGUAUCAAA